This is a long non-coding RNA of Pogonomyrmex barbatus (red harvester ant), 983 nucleotides long. The record is from RefSeq and is a predicted model, not a curated record. NCBI's taxonomy places the organism in Eukaryota, Metazoa, Arthropoda, Insecta, Hymenoptera, Formicidae.
AUGCGCAAAUCGUUUUCCUAAUAGACAUCUAUCAGAUAAGAAAAUAUUUCAAGAAUUACAUGAACGUCUACGAGAUACAGUGAAGAGAAUGAUGGCAACGAUAACCGAAGAUUAAUAAUAAUACAAAAUGUCGGACACAUUACAACGUGGAAAAUUUUACGAGAUCAACAAUUUUAUUCGUAUUAUGUCCAACGUGUUCAGGCAUUUAAAGAAGAUGAUUUUCCUUUAAGAUUUUCCUUUAAGUUAAGAGUUCAUUUAACUUAAGAGUUCAUUUUUGUAUCUCGUUCCUGCGGAAGUCUAUCGCUAAUCAAUAUUUUUUAUCUGCUGUAUUAUUUACUAAUAAAACUAUAUUCACUAGAAAUUAUUAAUUUUCAUAAUGUUUGUCAUCAUUGGACUGAAAAAAACCUAUUCAGUGUAAAUGUAUGGACAGGAAUAAUUGGCGAUCGGACCUGUUUUUAUUUUAUUUUUUUUUUUAUGAGAAAUUAACAGAUGAAUCUUACGUUAAUUUCUUGAAAAAUCAUUUGAACAAACUAUUAGAAGAAGUUUCACUUGAUAUUAUAUAUAACGUAUAGUUUAUAUAUGGUGCAUCGUCACAUUUUAACCAAGUUAUCAGAUAGUUCCUAAACGAACGAUUUCUUAACAAAUGGAUCCUGCGGGGGUUCUGCGGGAACUAUCGCCUGGUCUGCUCAUUCCCCAGAUUUAAAUCCGUUACAUUUUUACUUAUGGAGCCACUUAAAAAUAAUUGUUUAUUCAACACCCAUUGCCAAUGUUGAAAUACUUCGUGAACGCAUACAACAAGGUUGUCAACAGAUCCGACAUAUACCUGGAAUUUUUGAAAGAAUGAUACUUUGAAACACGACGACUACAAGCUUGUAGAGCGAAGAUGGCUGUUUCGAAUAUCUCUUGUAAAAAAAUUGCAAUGUCGAUUUUUUCAAUGCAUCGUGACGCACUUUGUUCCUUAUUGGGCCACCCGUUCUUGAUGG